Molecule: ribosomal RNA, 497 nt
Filed under: uncultured bacterium
Lineage: Bacteria
Description: partial 16S ribosomal RNA
Rfam family: Bacterial small subunit ribosomal RNA
Source: RNAcentral
GACGAACGCUGGCGGCGUGCCUAAUACAUGCAAGUAGAACGCUGAAGCGAGGAGCUUGCUCUUCUUGGCUGAGUUGCGAACGGGUGAGUAACGCGUAGGUAACCUGCCUUGUAGCGGGGGAUAACUAUUGGAAACGAUAGCUAAUACCGCAUAACAAUGGAUGACACAUGUCAUUUAUUUGAAAGGGGCAAUUGCUCCACUACAAGAUGGACCUGCGUUGUAUUAGCUAGUAGGUGAGGUAAUGGCUCACCUAGGCGACGAUACAUAGCCGACCUGAGAGGGUGAUCGGCCACACUGGGACUGAGACACGGCCCAGACUCCUACGGGAGGCAGCAGUAGGGAAUCUUCGGCAAUGGGGGCAACCCUGACCGAGCAACGCCGCGUGAGUGAAGAAGGUUUUCGGAUCGUAAAGCUCUGUUGUAAGUCAAGAACGGGUGUGAGAGUGGAAAGUUCACACUGUGACGGUAGCUUACCAGAAAGGGACGGCUAACUACGUG